UACAGAGGGGGCAAGCGUUGUUCGGAAUUACUGGGCGUAAAGGGCGCGUAGGCGGCCUUCUAAGUCGAACGUGAAAUCCCCGGGCUCAACCCGGGAACUGCGUCCGAUACUGGAAGGCUUGAAUCCGGGAGAGGGAUGCGGAAUUCCAGGUGUAGCGGUGAAAUGCGUAGAUAUCUGGAGGAACACCAGCGGCGAAGGCGGCGCUCUGGGCCGGAACUGACGCUGAGGAGCGAAAGCGUGGGUAGCAAACAGG
RNAcentral lists this ribosomal RNA (253 nucleotides) under uncultured bacterium. RNAcentral describes it as "partial 16S ribosomal RNA". It matches the Rfam family "Bacterial small subunit ribosomal RNA", at positions 524 to 776 of the family's 1533-position model. The record is from RNAcentral.